GGGAUUUUAGUUUAAUAAAAAAUAUGUAAUUUGCAUUUAUGAGAUAUUAGUUCUAU
This 56-nucleotide transfer RNA is filed under the name Metastrongylus salmi. Its description in RNAcentral is "tRNA-Ala". Lineage: Eukaryota; Metazoa; Nematoda; Chromadorea; Rhabditida; Metastrongylidae. The record is from RNAcentral.